UAUAUAUUAGUGUAUGAUGCACGUGGAAUUUUGAAUUCUUUAGAUUUAGUUUAAUUCUAAAAUGUAUAA
RNAcentral lists this transfer RNA (69 nucleotides) under Antilochus russus. Its description in RNAcentral is "tRNA-Gln". The record is from RNAcentral. Lineage: Eukaryota; Metazoa; Arthropoda; Insecta; Hemiptera; Pyrrhocoridae.